This 238-nucleotide unclassified non-coding RNA is filed under the name uncultured fungus. RNAcentral's name for it is "sequence contains ITS2". Lineage: Eukaryota; Fungi. The record is from RNAcentral.
AACGCACAUUGCACCUCUUGGUAUUCCUUGAGGUAUGCCUGUUUGAGCGCCGUUUGAACUCCUAAAGCUUUGCUUUGUGAUGAGCUUGGUCGCUAAAUUUUUAGUGACCUGCUUCAAAAUCAUUUUGCCCAAGACUUUUUGCGUGACGCAGUAAAAGUGCAGAGCGUAAAAUUGCUGUCCAGGGCAGGUCAAACGAUCGCAUGGCCUCAAAUCAGGUAGGGCUACCCGCUGAACUUAA